Non-coding RNA from Heterocephalus glaber (naked mole-rat), 2142 nucleotides. The record is from RefSeq and is a predicted model, not a curated record. Lineage: Eukaryota; Metazoa; Chordata; Mammalia; Rodentia; Bathyergidae.
CUGUGCAACGUCAGCAGUACACACUGUGCCCUGAACGCCUGCUGAAAGGCUGAUUCUUGUUAACUAGAAGGAAAAGCAGAGACUGGAACUUGGCUGUAUCCUUCACUGCGCAGUUCCCAUGGAAACCACACCAAUGAACAGGCCGUAUGCAAUCUAUCAUCAGACUUGAUUCUGCAACCAUAGCUCCCUGGCUUGGGGCCAGUGGUCAGCGGCGGGAAGCUGUGCAAGGCUGCCUGCCUGCCUGUGUCCACUUCAGGAUGGCUCCCAUUUCAUUUCCAAGGAUGCUGCUUUUCAGACAAUCUGGCCACGUCACCAGGUGACCCAGAGACUUGGAUGAUGCCUGAGUCCCCAGUACCAUCUCUCCUUCUUUGGCUCCAAGUUACCAGGCUGAUCUGGGGGUGCACUAACCCAGGGGGUUCACGACCUUCCCCAGGAAAAGCAUGCUGCCUGUUUCUGUGUGGAAAGUCAUCAGCAGGAAGGGCCUGCUGAGCUCAGCAGGGCCCGGCAGUGCUGGGGCCUCAGCAUCCAGGUGGGGUCUGGGAGUGAGCUGAACAGCGGUGGUGGCGGCGGCCUCAGAGCCCUCCUCGCCCACUGUCAUCCUGGGCUGAUGAGUCACCUGCAAGGCAAAUUCUGGAAUCAUCGAUCCACCCCACAGGAAGGACCAGCUGUGCCUUGACUUUAAUCCCAGUUUUCCUUCUAUUCCUUUACACAACCAUAUACUGUUCACUUACCACCCACCCUUUCUUCUACCUAAAAUAACUUUCUGAAAAAUUUACUUAUCUAUCUACUACACCCAUCAUUGACCUACUUACUUAUUUAUUCAUCCACACACCCAGCAAACCAUAAUCCAUCCACGUAACUGCGAACCAUCUGCGUAUCCAUAGCUAUACCUGCCCGCCUCUCCUGUGUUCACAUGCCCAUCCUUCUGCCCAUUUACUCACCCACCCAUCCACCCAUCCACUCACCCAUCCACCCACCCACCUGCCCAGCCAUCCCCAUCCAUGGUUCCGUCUAUCCACUAUUCAUCUAUCCAUUCACCUAUCCACCUGUCUACGCAGGUAUUUACAUCCUCGUGCCUGGCAUCUGCAUUGUUAGUUGUGGUGCACUUGGAACGUCACACCAGCGCCUAACUACUCCCGUCUCCAUCUGUUGCUCCACACACCCACUCUUUCCUCCCAUCACUACUUACUGAUCCUUUCAUUCACUUCAAUCUGAUAAUUCCUUUUCAUUCAUCCCAUCACUCAUUCAUUCAUGAAUGUAUUCAGUAAGCAUUUACGGAGGACCUACCCGCUGUUUGCAACCCAAUGUCUCGGUGCAGUAGGGACUAGGAAACGAAUGGGGAUGACUCCCAAAGGCUCAUGGCCGGACAAGGAAGGAAAACGCCUAAACGUGAGCCAGAGAGUUACCAGGAGAGAAUGUGCUUCUGCCUGGGAGUAAGAUUAGAGAAGUCUGCACGGAAGAAGUGAAGUAGCAACAUGCACUUACUCAGGGCCAUGAGUGGCAAGUAGAGUUUGCGUGUUUGGAGGUGGGAAGGCCUGCGAGGUGGUCUGAAAACAGUCUGCCGAGGGAGGGAGGGACAGCAGGGGACAAGGCUGGGCAGGGAUGCUGGGGGCAGAAGCUGGGGCAACUGUGGGAGUGGUCAGUUUUCAUGGAGGCUUCUGGGGGAAAGGGUGGGUUUAGCCCCAUUUUCUCUCCGACUCGCUGGGCUCGCUUGUCUUCCCACCGAGCCGGGCCAUGGCCAGGAGGCCUUCACCCGAUGCCGUUCCUGGGUCUCGGUUUUCCCAGCCUCCAGAGCCAUGACCAGAAUAGACUUCUACUGUUUAUAAAUUUCCCAGCCCAUAGCACUCCACUACAAAAGCAGAAAAUGGACAAAGAUACCUGCUAAGCCUCAGUUUCCUCAUCUGCACAAUGGGACAGCAGCACUGCCCUCGUCAGUCUGCUGGGAGGUGCCGUGGGUCCCCUGAGAAACAGCAGCACCGGCUGAAUGUCCCGGGGGAUGGGAAGGGGACAAGGCCUUGGGCUCAAUCCCCAGUGCAAAACCAAACCAAACCAAACAGAAACCAAAGCGGGAGGCUGAGGCAGAAAGACUGCAAAUUUGUCUUGCUUGGGCAAUUUCGUCUCAAAAUAAAAAAUUAAAAAGGG